Molecule: ribosomal RNA, 460 nt
Filed under: uncultured bacterium
Lineage: Bacteria
Description: partial 16S ribosomal RNA
Rfam family: Bacterial small subunit ribosomal RNA
Source: RNAcentral
CCUACGGAUGGCAGCAGUGAGGAAUAUUGGUCAAUGGACGAGAGUCUGAACCAGCCAAGUAGCGUGAAGGAUGACUGCCCUAUGGGUUGUAAACUUCUUUUAUAUGGGAAUAAAAUGUUCCACGUGUGGGAUUUUGUAUGUACCAUAUGAAUAAGGAUCGGCUAACUCCGUGCCAGCAGCCGCGGUAAUACGGAGGAUCCGAGCGUUAUCCGGAUUUAUUGGGUUUAAAGGGAGCGUAGGUGGAUUGUUAAGUCAGUUGUGAAAGUUUGCGGCUCAACCGUAAAAUUGCAGUUGAAACUGGCAUACUUCAGUACAUGAGAGGAGAGCGGAAUUGGUGGGGUAGCGGUGAAAUGCUUAGAUCUCUCGAAGAACUCCGAUUGCGAAGGCGGCUCACUGGACUGCAACUGACACUGAGGCUCGAAAGUGUGGGUAUCAAACAGGAUUAGAUACCCGUGUAGUC